CGUAGGUAACCUGCCUGGUAGCGGGGGAUAACUAUUGGAAACGAUAGCUAAUACCGCAUAAAAUUAGAUUAUUGCAUGAUAGUCAAUUAAAAGGUAGCAAUUGCAUCACUACCAGAUGGACCUGUGUUGUAUUAGCUAGUUGGUGAGGUAAAGGCUCACCAAGGCAACGAUACAUAGCCGACCUGAGAGGGUGAUCGGCCACACUGGGACUGAGACACGGCCCAG
Molecule: ribosomal RNA, 225 nt
Filed under: uncultured bacterium
Lineage: Bacteria
Description: partial 16S ribosomal RNA
Rfam family: Bacterial small subunit ribosomal RNA
Source: RNAcentral